This 278-nucleotide signal recognition particle RNA is filed under the name Oncorhynchus kisutch (coho salmon). RNAcentral describes it as "Metazoan signal recognition particle RNA (ENSOKIG00005049437.1)". It matches the Rfam family "Metazoan signal recognition particle RNA". Rfam says of the family: The signal recognition particle (SRP) is a universally conserved ribonucleoprotein. It is involved in the co-translational targeting of proteins to membranes. The record is from Rfam by way of RNAcentral. Lineage: Eukaryota; Metazoa; Chordata; Actinopteri; Salmoniformes; Salmonidae.
GCCGGGUGCGGUGGCAUGUGCCUGUAAUCCAAGUCACUGGCAGGCUGAGGUUUGUAGAUCAAGUGAGCUGAGGAGCUCUGAGCUGCAGCACACUAUGGUUCGGUAUCGAUAUGGUGUUCCACGGGGAGCCCGGGACCACCAGGUUGUCUAAGGAGGGGUGAACCGGCCCAGGUCGGAAACGAAGCAGGUCAAAUCCCCCGUGCUGUCCAGUAGUUGGAUAAUACCUGUGAGUAGAUGCUGCAGUGCAGCCUUGGCAAAACAUCGAGACCUAAUCUUUU